GUUUCCUACGGGGGGCAGCAGUAGGGAAUCUUCCACAAUGGGCGAAAGCCUGAUGGAGCAACGCCGCGUGGGUGAAGAAGGUCUUCGGAUUGUAAACUCCUUUUGUGAGAGAAGAUAAUGACGGUAUCUCACGAAUAAGCACCGGCUAACUCCGUGCCAGCAGCCGCGGUAAUACGGAGGGUGCAAGCGUUACUCGGAAUCACUGGGCGUAAAGAGUGCGCAGGCGGGCUUGUAAGUCAGAUGUGAAAUCCUGUAGCUUAACUACAGAACUGCAUUUGAAACUAUGAGUCUAGAGUGUGGGAGAG
This 305-nucleotide ribosomal RNA is filed under the name uncultured bacterium. RNAcentral's name for it is "bacterial SSU rRNA". It matches the Rfam family "Bacterial small subunit ribosomal RNA", at positions 334 to 656 of the family's 1533-position model. The record is from RNAcentral.